Hibiscus syriacus is the source of this 132-nucleotide long non-coding RNA. RefSeq lists it as uncharacterized. The transcript has 3 exons. The record is from RefSeq and is a predicted model, not a curated record. Lineage: Eukaryota; Viridiplantae; Streptophyta; Magnoliopsida; Malvales; Malvaceae.
UCAUGGAAACAGACGAUGUGAUGGGUCUGCAAAUAUGCAGAGAUAAGAUGCAAAACCGCAGAUAUGGGAGUAUGUGGCACCUAUAAAAGGAGCUUUUAUAGUUAAUCUCUGGGACAUGCUGGAGAGCUAGAG